CACGGGGGGCAGGCCUAACACAUGCAAGUCGAACGGCAGCACGGGGGCAACCCUGGUGGCGAGUGGCGAACGGGUGAGUAAUACAUCGGAACGUGUCCUGUAGUGGGGGAUAGCCCGGCGAAAGCCGGAUUAAUACCGCAUACGCUCUGCGGAGGAAAGCGGGGGCUCCUUCGGGACCUCGCGCUACAGGGGCGGCCGAUGGCAGAUUAGCUAGUUGGUGGGGUAAAGGCCUACCAAGGCGACGAUCUGUAGCUGGUCUGAGAGGACGACCAGCCACACUGGGACUGAGACACGGCCCAGACUCCUACGGGAGGCAGCAGUGGGGGAAUUUUGGACAAUGGGCGCAAGCCUGAUCCAGCAAUGCCGCGUGUGUGAAGAAGGCCUUCGGGUUGUAAAGCACUUUUGUCCGGAAAGAAAACCUCAGCCCUAAUACGGCGGGGGGAUGACGGUACCGGAAGA
RNAcentral lists this ribosomal RNA (459 nucleotides) under 2,4-D degrading transconjugant WD2. RNAcentral's name for it is "bacterial SSU rRNA". It matches the Rfam family "Bacterial small subunit ribosomal RNA", at positions 38 to 485 of the family's 1533-position model. The record is from RNAcentral. Lineage: Bacteria; Pseudomonadati; Pseudomonadota; Betaproteobacteria; Burkholderiales; Burkholderiaceae.